CUCCCUAGGUAUAUAUUUAACUGUUUCGAAAUUGUUCGACUGUGAGGUCUUAAGCAUCUUAGAUUCUAAAUUUGGCAUAUUUAUUUCAACAUCUAUCUCAUUUUAUUUUCAAAACUAUGACAUAUGUAUCUACAUUUCAUAUAUAUAAAUAUAAAGCAAAUGUAGCCUGUUCCAUAGAGACGGGCUACACAUGACCAUGCUUUAAAAGAUGACGACUUUUAAGUAACAGACAUGAGGUCAGAAAUGAUCCAAAUCAUAUAUCAUAUGAUGAUCAUGCCCAUUAUUGUUCUGUAUUAGAUAUAUAACUCCAUAUAUUAAACAAGAUUUCAGUCAGUGUAUUUCAGUUGUAUUUUACUGCUGGUCUGUGUAUUCCAUUUUCAACCUAUUAAAGUUUGCGGCGAGUGUCUCAUGCAAAACAGGCACUAUUUCUCUUUCUAUAGUAUCUAGCUUUGAACUUAUACUGGGUUGGUUCCUAUUCUUAAUAGUUAUAGUUUUCUGUGUAGUUUUGUGGAUUUUGAAUGUCUUUCAGAAUUUUUUUUAAUAAUGAGGUUUGUUUCUAGAUAUACUAUGCCAUUACAUCUUUUUUUGCUCUCGUCCUAAUCUGAGACUACUAUAACAUGUUACAGUAGUCUCAGUCCUAAUAUGCACGAGCUUGUUACCACCAGUCUACACAUGUAAACAAACAAAAAA
Molecule: long non-coding RNA, 690 nt
Filed under: Mytilus galloprovincialis (Mediterranean mussel)
Lineage: Eukaryota; Metazoa; Mollusca; Bivalvia; Mytilida; Mytilidae
Source: RNAcentral